GAUGAAGAACGUAGUGAAAUGCGAUAAUUAAUGUGAAUUGCAGAAUUCAGUGAAUCAUCGAGUCUUUGAACGCACAUUGCGCCCCCUGGUAUUCCGGGGGGCAUGCCUGUCCGAGCGUCAUUGCUGCCCUCAAGCACGGCUUGUGUGUUGGGCUUCCGUCCCUGGCAACGGGGACGGGCCCAAAAGGCAGUGGCGGCACCAUGUCUGGUCCUCGAGCGUAUGGGGCUUUGUCACCCGCUCCCGUAGGUCCAGCUGGCAGCUAGCCUCGCAACCAAUCUUUUUAACCAGGUUGACCUCGGAUCAGGUAGGGAUACCCGCUGAACUUAAGCAUACAAUAAGCGGAGGA
This 346-nucleotide unclassified non-coding RNA is filed under the name soil metagenome. Its description in RNAcentral is "partial contains 5.8S ribosomal RNA, internal transcribed spacer 2, and large subunit ribosomal RNA". The stretch from base 1 to 120 matches the Rfam family "5.8S ribosomal RNA", at positions 35 to 154 of the family's 154-position model. The record is from RNAcentral.